AAAAGAUUAGUUUAAAACAAAACAUUAACUUGUCAAGUUAAAAAUACUUAAAUUUAAGUAUCUUUUA
This 67-nucleotide transfer RNA is filed under the name Sadoletus valdezi. RNAcentral describes it as "tRNA-Asp". It matches the Rfam family "tRNA". Rfam says of the family: Transfer RNA (tRNA) molecules are approximately 80 nucleotides in length. Their secondary structure includes four short double-helical elements and three loops (D, anti-codon, and T loops). Further hydrogen bonds mediate the characteristic L-shaped molecular structure. tRNAs have two regions of fundamental functional importance: the anti-codon, which is responsible for specific mRNA codon recognition, and the 3' end, to which the tRNAs corresponding amino acid is attached (by aminoacyl-tRNA synthetases). tRNAs cope with the degeneracy of the genetic code in two manners: having more than one tRNA (with a specific anti-codon) for a particular amino acid; and 'wobble' base-pairing, i.e. permitting non-standard base-pairing at the 3rd anti-codon position. The record is from RNAcentral. Lineage: Eukaryota; Metazoa; Arthropoda; Insecta; Hemiptera; Heterogastridae.